Molecule: ribosomal RNA, 265 nt
Filed under: uncultured archaeon
Lineage: Archaea
Description: partial 16S ribosomal RNA
Rfam family: Archaeal small subunit ribosomal RNA
Source: RNAcentral
AGACGUCUACAUUAGAUACCCCCGUAGUCCCAGCCGUAAACCAUGCGCGUUAGGUGUAUCGGUGACCACGAGUCACCGAGGUGCCGAAGGGAAACCGUGAAACGUGCCGCCUGGGAAGUACGGCCGCAAGGCUGAAACUUAAAGGAAUUGGCGGGGGAGCACAACAACGGGUGGAGCCUGCGGUUUAAUUGGACUCAACGCCGGACAACUCACCGGGAACGACAGCAAUAUGUAGGCCAGGCUGAAGACCUUGCCUGAAUCGCUG